This 460-nucleotide ribosomal RNA is filed under the name uncultured Desulfobulbus sp. Its description in RNAcentral is "bacterial SSU rRNA". It matches the Rfam family "Bacterial small subunit ribosomal RNA", at positions 930 to 1382 of the family's 1533-position model. The record is from RNAcentral. Lineage: Bacteria; Pseudomonadati; Thermodesulfobacteriota; Desulfobulbia; Desulfobulbales; Desulfobulbaceae.
CGGUGGAGUAUGUUGGUUUAAUUCGAUGCAACGCGAAGAACCUUACCUGGUCUUGACAUCCCGGAGACCCUUAGGAAACUAGGGGGUGCUUCCAUCUGGAAGAAUCUGGAGACAGGUGCUGCAUGGCUGUCGUCAGCUCGUGUCGUGAGAUGUUGGGUUAAGUCCCGCAACGAGCGCAACCCUUGCCUUUUAGUUGCCAGCAGUUCGGCUGGGCACUCUAAAGGGACUGCCGGUGUUAAACCGGAGGAAGGUGGGGAUGACGUCAAGUCCUCAUGGCCUUUAUGACCAGGGCUACACACGUACUACAAUGGCCGAUACAAAGGGCAGCGACACUGCGAGGUGAAGCCAAUCCCGUAAAAUCGGUCUCAGUCCGGAUUGGAGUCUGCAACUCGACUCCAUGAAGUUGGAAUCGCUAGUAAUCGUGGAUCAGCAUGCCACGGUGAAUACGUUCCCGGGCCUU